Molecule: ribosomal RNA, 119 nt
Filed under: Trifolium pratense (red clover)
Lineage: Eukaryota; Viridiplantae; Streptophyta; Magnoliopsida; Fabales; Fabaceae
Source: RNAcentral
GGGUGCGAUCAUACCAGCACUAAUGCACCGGAUCCCAUCAGAACUCCGCAGUUAAGCGUGCUUGGGCGAGAGUAGUACUAGGAUGGGUGACCUCCUGGGAAGUCCUUGUGUUGCACCUC